UACAGAGGUCUCAAGCGUUGUUCGGAAUCACUGGGCGUAAAGGGUGCGUAGGCUGCGCCGUAAGUCAGAUGUGAAAGCUCAGGGCUCAACCCUGAAAUUGCAUCCGAUACUGCGGUGCUUGAGAAAUGAAGGGGAGUCUAGAAUUUUCGGUGUAGCAGUGAAAUGCGUAGAUAUCGAAAGGAAUACCAAAGGCGAAGGCAGGACUCUGGGCAUUUUCUGACGCUGAUGCACGAAGGCCAGGGUAGCGAACGGG
This 253-nucleotide non-coding RNA is filed under the name uncultured bacterium. Its description in RNAcentral is "partial 16S ribosomal RNA". It matches the Rfam family "Bacterial small subunit ribosomal RNA", at positions 524 to 776 of the family's 1533-position model. RNAcentral also lists the same sequence under 1 other name. The record is from RNAcentral.